CCGUGUCGUAACCCGCAAGGGCAGCGGCCGAACGCGAGCAUCAUGACUGGGNG
Molecule: ribosomal RNA, 53 nt
Filed under: uncultured bacterium
Lineage: Bacteria
Description: partial 16S ribosomal RNA
Source: RNAcentral